GCUGUGACGACGAACCAGCCAAUCUGUUUACUGAACUGCUGACCCCUUCCGGGAACUCGGCCCAAGCUUCCCAGAACUCGGGUAUCAAUGACCCGGAGCCACAUGACGGAGCAUGACACAGCACUUUUGGGCACAAGGCAGGGCCCAGAGGGGUGCGUAGGGGGCCGCAGCCCAGCCCCCAAGCCCGGCCAGCGGGUGACAGAUGGCUGAUGGUGUGGGUAGCUGUGGCCUGACAUGUCACUUUUGCUCUCAAACUGAGACAGCAGGGGGACGCGGUGGCCACGAGGCACAGUAUCUGGUGUAUGUGUAAGAAAGAGCCACAGCGCCCUGGGGAGGGGCCAGAGUCUCAGCCCGCACUGCCGUGGUCCCAAUGGGUCUCCCAAAGAUCAUGUGGGCUGCUAAGAGGUGACCGGGUCAUGAGGACUCUGCGCUGAUGAAUGGAUUCGUGUCAGUAACGCAGGAGUGGUUUCGUGAUGGACAGAGUGGAUUUGUCACGUAAGUGAGUUCAGCCAUGCCUUGCUGUCUCACAUGCCGCCUCUUGCCAUGAGAUGCCUUCGCCAGGGAACGACAGCAAGAAGGCCCUCUCUUGAGCGAGCCUCUCAAUCUUCAGCUCUCCGGUCUCCAGGACUGUUAGAAAUACAUCUCUUUUCUUCAAGGACUCA
Molecule: long non-coding RNA, 662 nt
Organism: Cebus imitator (Panamanian white-faced capuchin)
Lineage: Eukaryota; Metazoa; Chordata; Mammalia; Primates; Cebidae
Exons: 4
Source: RefSeq, a predicted model, not a curated record